RNAcentral lists this long non-coding RNA (1484 nucleotides) under Cyanistes caeruleus (blue tit). RNAcentral's name for it is "lncRNA (ENSCCEG00000017325.1)". Lineage: Eukaryota; Metazoa; Chordata; Aves; Passeriformes; Paridae. The record is from RNAcentral.
AGCAUUGUCCAUUUAACACAGGUUUAUUUUAAAAAGAAAAAAAAAAAAAAAAAAAGAAACAGGUUACGUAUACCCAUUGCAGUUCAACAGAAAGUUCUCCUUCUUUCAAGUGGGUAGUGGCCUAAAAUGUCAGUAUGGACAGGAAGAUGUGCUGGAUUUAAUCACAGCCUAAUGAACUGUUCUUUUUACUGAAGAUGUAAUUGUCAGUACGUGCAGAAGUCUCAGGCAGACUUAGGUAAGGGAUUUUUAAUGAAGUCUAAAGAGGAGUACAACUUUCUGUAACACUCACUCCCAGGGUUCAUUCCUAAAACCCAAACAUGUUGCUUUAUAUUACUUUUUACUUUUUCAUCUUUGCAACUCACCUGAGCACCAUGGAGAGAAACCAGAAUCCCAAACCCAUGCAUCUUGUCUCAAGAGACUGGAGCCAUUGUUUUUAAACUGCUCACCUGCUAUUUUUACGGAUUUAUUUUAUUCUUAAAAAAUAUUUUCUCUCUUCAGUCUGAUGGAGCAAAUAUGUUUGACCUGACUGCUAAUAACACCUCCCUGUGCAUUCCCUUAGUCCCUAAGAAAGGGAGGCUGUGAUAUCACAUAUCAAAAUGUGCUCAGGUGUUGCCAACAGCUGAGUGACCUCGUGAGACACAAGGGCAAAGAUGACUCAGUUCUGCCUGGAUGGAUAAGGGAGCAGAAACCUACAGGCUGCAGGCUUCAUAGCUCCCACACAAGCACCCCACAGCCAAAACCAUCCGUGGGUCUGCUCUGAAGGUGAAGACCAGCCCAAAACGUGCUCAUCUUACGCCCAGAUUUCACACGGCCAAAAGCGAGCUGCUCCCUCGCUAGCGCAACACAUUGAAUUACUGCCACUAAAUGAAAACAAUCUGGUUGGUUUCCUCAUGAUCUGGGUUGGUUUUCCAGCACAGGCUCCAUGCCCUGGGUGGGGACAGCCCCUGGCUGUGUGUGCCCUUGGUGGGUGCCCAGCAGCCGAGGCCGUGGGCGCUCGCACACCCGUGGGGCUGCGUGCAGCCACUCGCUCUCCUCCGACCACGCAGGAGCUCCCACCCCAUGGCAACAGGGCACAAACAGCAGUGUUCUGGGUGGCUGUUUGCAGGUUGUGGCUGGCAGUUGCUAUGGGUGCCUGGCAGGCAGGUGAGAGAAGCCCUCCUGAGGGGCACUGCCAGCAGCUGGCUGCUCCUACCUGCCAGGCACGCAAGGUUUUCCUCCCACCCUUUGCACGGAGAGCCAAGGAGGAUGGAUGGACACAGACAGGGUCUAACCUGCAGCAAACUUUUGCUGAGGUGCCAGUGCUCUUGUCUCGACAACGUUCCAUUUGAGUGAACUUAUUCCAGGUUUACACCACCGCACUUUGAAGAGUGUAAGGCCUUAGAAAUCAAUGUCUGCUUUGUGUUCCUGUGACAAUGGCUUGCAGUUGCCAAAACCACAAUCCUUUUCCACAAUAUAAAUAAAAACUGGACAUGCACGGUUAAGAU